ACGCGCGGAACCUUACCAGGUCUUGACAUCCUCUGACACUCCUAGAGAUAGGACGUUCCCCUUCGGGGGACAGAGUGACAGGUGGUGCAUGGUUGUCGUCAGCUCGUGUCGUGAGAUGUUGGGUUAAGUCCCGCAACGAGCGCAACCCUUGAUCUUAGUUGCCAGCAUUAAGUUGGGCACUCUAAGGUGACUGCCGGUGACAAACCGGAGGAAGGUGGGGAUGACGUCAAAUCAUCAUGCCCCUUAUGACCUGGGCUACACACGUGCUACAAUGGAUGGUACAAAGGGCAGCAAAGCGGUGACGCCUAGCAAAUCCCAUAAAACCAUUCUCAGUUCGGAUUGUAGGCUGCAACUCGCCUACAUGAAGCUGGAAUCGCUAGUAAUCGCGGAUCGGCAUGCCGCGGUGAAUACGUUCCCGGGCCUUGCACUCACCGCCCGU
RNAcentral lists this ribosomal RNA (439 nucleotides) under uncultured bacterium. Its description in RNAcentral is "bacterial SSU rRNA". It matches the Rfam family "Bacterial small subunit ribosomal RNA", at positions 959 to 1397 of the family's 1533-position model. The record is from RNAcentral.